Molecule: ribosomal RNA, 403 nt
Filed under: uncultured bacterium
Lineage: Bacteria
Description: partial 16S ribosomal RNA
Rfam family: Bacterial small subunit ribosomal RNA
Source: RNAcentral
AUUGAACGCUGGCGGCAGGCCUAACACAUGCAAGUCGAGCGAGCGGCGGACGGGUGAGUAAUGUAUGGGGACUGCCCGAUAGAGGGGGAUAACUACUGGAAACGGUGGCUAAUACCGCAUACUGUCGGAUAACCCAUAUGGGAUUAGCUAGUAGGUAAGGUAAUGGCUUACCUAGGCGACGAUCCCUAGCUGGUCUGAGAGGAUGAUCAGCCACACUGGGACUGAGACACGGCCCAGACUCCUACGGAGGCAGCAGUGGGGGAUAUUGCACAAUGGGCGAAAGCCUGAUGCAGCGACGCCGCGUGGGGGAUGAAGGCUUUCGGGUUGUAAACCUCUUUCGCUAUCGAACGGGUAGGUGGAGAAGAAGCGCCGGCUAACUACGUGCCAGCAGCCGCGGUAAUAC